AUCUUGUUUUCAACAUUUUUUUGAAACUUGUAAGUUCAUUUUAGUCCUGCUAAUUUUUUUUCUUGAAAGGACGUAGUAAAAUCUUUUCGCAAUGGUUUUGUUUAAUAAAUCACUGGCAAUUUCUUUUUUUUUCUUUUAAGACAGGGUGGAUUUUUAAAAGGAAUUUGGCUCUCGAGAUGAAAUCAAAGGCCUUUAAAACAAAACUGAGCCAAAAUCUUUGGUUUGAAACCCACUUUGUUGAUGAAAAAGCAAGACUGUUUUUUUUGGAAGAGGUUUUGUCAUACCUUUUGCAAGAUGAUUGUUUUUAAAUCAUUUCAUAGAUAGCUGUUGAUGCAAAAGCUGAUCUGCAAACACAAAGGGCUAAUAUCUGAUUCAAACGUUAAGGCGUGCCAGCCGAUUUGACCUUACAAUCGACAAAGGUGGUAACUCGAACACUUUGGUCCCGACAACAGCGAUGCGCCCGGAUGUCACGGCCAAGAGGUGCUCACGCGGAACUUUGAGAACACGCCAAGUUUGACUUGAUGAAUUCCUAAGAACUCAUAGUAAAAAGAAAAUAUGACGAAGUCAUCGAAAAGUAGAUGGUAGAAUAUGUGUAAAAACUUGUGUUUGAUUGAUUGAUAGAUAUUUCAUUACAUUGC
RNAcentral lists this long non-coding RNA (638 nucleotides) under Sorghum bicolor (sorghum). RNAcentral describes it as "long non-coding RNA (SBIC_LNC008858)". The record is from RNAcentral. Lineage: Eukaryota; Viridiplantae; Streptophyta; Magnoliopsida; Poales; Poaceae.